Long non-coding RNA from Gopherus flavomarginatus (Mexican gopher tortoise), 1648 nucleotides. RefSeq lists it as uncharacterized. The transcript has 3 exons. NCBI's taxonomy places the organism in Eukaryota, Metazoa, Chordata, Testudines, Testudinidae. The record is from RefSeq and is a predicted model, not a curated record.
UGCUGACAAAGCUCUCCAAGGGCUGGAGGUUUUACGGUGGGAACCUCUAUUACUUUUCACAUGAAAAAAAGUCGUUUGAUGAGGCUGAGCAGUUCUGUGUGUCUCAGGACUCGCACCUGACCUCUGUCUCCUCCCAGGCGGAACAGGAGUUUCUCUCCAACGAGACCAAGGGAGAAGAUCACUGGAUUGGACUCACCGACCGGGAGACAGAAGGCAGCUGGCGCUGGGUGGACGGCACAGAAUACAGAGCAGACGCAAGCAGGGGGUUCUGGGAGGAGAAUCAGCCAGACAACUGGGAUCAGGGGACAGGAGGCAGAGAAGACUGUGUUGAGUCCCGCUCAAGCAAUCAGAAUUUGUGGAAUGAUGCCAACUGCACUCUGCUUUUCAAGUGGAUUUGUAAGCAGGCGCAGGGACAGGCUGGGCUGUGACAUGCAGGUCUCAGCAUGUCAAACAGCACCUUAAUUUCCAAGCUAGAAUAUUUCCCAGCCAGCUGCCGAUGAGGAGCCCUUUACACUGGAGGGGCCGCAUGGGAUUGGCAUUGCAGGGGGAGCCCCCAGGAGGAAUCCUGGAUGAACAAGCCAGAAUUCCUCCUAGUGGCUUCUAGGCGCAUGUGGCAAAGGACUAGCUCCACCAGCCUCUGGGAGGGUGUGGUGAGCUCCGAGCUCACUUCCACCUACCACUCAGGGAGCUGCCAACAAUGAGGAAGAACAGCAUUUCCCAAUGAGAUUCUGGUCAGCUCCUGCUCCCAGAGCUUGUGGUUGAGCUACAGCAUGGAUUCUAAAAAGCCAUCCAAUCUUGAGCAAUGACAGUCUCUAAAGGCACUCCGUCUUUACUAUGAGGGGCAGACACGAACAGAGAGAGAGAAUAUUUCCUCCCCCUUUGCUCUGCUCAUCUCAUCCUUUACAUCACUAGUUGCCUCCUCUAUGAUGACACUCAACUCCGCCUCCUGUGGUGCCACCCUGGGACUUUCUUUUUCUAUCUUCAGACUGCGAGUAGCUUCUGCACUGCUAACUUCCUCUUUUGAUUCUCCCUGUGGCUUCUAGCUCCGCUUCUAAAGGUACUGCGUCAGCCUGAGCUAAUUCUCUCACCCUGCUUCUCGUAAUUGGCCCUGCAGAUUUUUCUGUCUCUGUCGGUUCCACCAUGUCAGUAGGGAUGGGAACCAAUUCUUAUACUCGUCUAACACAUCUCUUACCUUUUUCAACUCUCUGAUUCUUUUUAACAGCUGACCACAGUCUGAUUUAUAGCCAUCCAGCGAUUUUAAGCUGGCAUCCAAAAUUUGCUGGGCUUUUCUGAGUAACUCUAAUUUUUUUAUUUAAUUUCUUUCCCAGCGAACUAUAAACUAUGAACAGACAUUCAAUAGCUAUUCCUUUCACCAGUUCAGCCUUUCUUUUUUUUUUCUGCUUUGUUUCUACAUCAAAUACUUCACUCACAAAACCCCAUGGAUUACAAUGCUCAGAUAUCAUCUCAGUUGUACUAAAUCCCCUCCAUGAUCCUGAAUGUAUUUUUUAGCAAAGUUUCCUAGAGCCAUACUGUGGGCAACUUCAACAGACUCUACUCUUGCCCUUACGUCACUUACCUUACCAUGUAACAUAGAACUCAUUUGAAUUCUAACACUUCACUAACUUAUGUAAUAAACUAUAAUGAAUAC